UACGGGAGGCAGCAGUGGGGAAUAUUGCACAAUGGGCGCAAGCCUGAUGCAGCCAUGCCGCGUGUAUGAAAAGGCCUUCGGGUUGUAAAGUACUUUCAGUCGUGAGGAAGGUGUUAAGGUUAAUAACCUUAGCAAUUGACGUUAGCGACAGAAGAAGCACCGGCUAACUCCGUGCCAGCAGCCGCGGUAAUACGGAGGGUGCGAGCGUUAAUCGGAAUUACUGGGCGUAAAGGGCACGCAGGCGGUUAAUUAAGUUGGAUGUGAAAUCCCCGGGCUUAACCUGGGAAUGGCAUUCAAGACUGGUUAGCUAGAGUCUUGUAGAGGGGGUAGAAUUCCAUGUGUAGCGGUGAAAUGCGUAGAGAUGUGGAGGAAUACCGGUGGCGAAGGCGGCCCCCUGGACAAAGACUGACGCUCAUGUGCGAAAAGCGUGGGGAGCAAAACAGGGAUUAGAUACC
This 455-nucleotide ribosomal RNA is filed under the name uncultured bacterium. Its description in RNAcentral is "bacterial SSU rRNA". It matches the Rfam family "Bacterial small subunit ribosomal RNA", at positions 340 to 786 of the family's 1533-position model. The record is from RNAcentral.